AUUGAACGCUGGCGGCAUGCUUUACACAUGCAAGUCGAACGGCAGCACGGGUGCUUGCACCUGGUGGCGAGUGGCGGACGGGUGAGUAAUACAUCGGAACGUGUCCAGAAGAGGGGGAUAACGCAUCGAAAGAUGUGCUAAUACCGCAUAUGCUCUGAGGAGGAAAGUAGGGGAUCGAAAGACCUUACGCUUUUGGAGCGGCCGAUGUCUGAUUAGCUAGUUGGUGGGGUAAGGGCCUACCAAGGCGACGAUCAGUAGUUGGUCUGAGAGGACGACCAGCCACACUGGGACUGAGACACGGCCCAGACUCCUACGGGAGGCAGCAGUGGGGAAUUUUGGACAAUGGGCGCAAGCCUGAUCCAGCAAUGCCGCGUGAGUGAAGAAGGCCCUCGGGUUGUAAAGCUCUUUCAGUCGAGAAGAAAAGGCUGCAGUGAAUAACUGUAGUUUAUGACGGUAUCGACAGAAGAAGCACCGG
This 475-nucleotide ribosomal RNA is filed under the name uncultured bacterium. RNAcentral describes it as "bacterial SSU rRNA". It matches the Rfam family "Bacterial small subunit ribosomal RNA", at positions 30 to 496 of the family's 1533-position model. The record is from RNAcentral.